RNAcentral lists this unclassified non-coding RNA (345 nucleotides) under soil metagenome. RNAcentral's name for it is "partial contains 5.8S ribosomal RNA, internal transcribed spacer 2, and large subunit ribosomal RNA". The stretch from base 1 to 120 matches the Rfam family "5.8S ribosomal RNA", at positions 35 to 154 of the family's 154-position model. The record is from RNAcentral.
GAUGAAGAACGUAGCGAAAUGCGAUAAGUAAUGUGAAUUGCAGAAUUCAGUGAAUCAUCGAAUCUUUGAACGCACCUUGCGCCCCCUGGUAUUCCGGGGGGCAUGCCUGUCCGAGCGUCAUUGCUGCCCUCAAGCACGGCUUGUGUGUUGGGCCUCCGUCCUCCUCCCGGGGGACGGGCCCGAAAGGCAGCGGCGGCACCGCGUCCGGUCCUCGAGCGUAUGGGGCUUCGUCACCCGCUCUUGUAGGCCCGGCCGGCGCUUGCCGACACAUCAAUCUUUUUUCCAGGUUGACCUCGGAUCAGGUAGGGAUACCCGCUGAACUUAAGCAUAUCAAUAAGCGGAGGA